This is a long non-coding RNA of Oreochromis aureus, 702 nucleotides long. NCBI's taxonomy places the organism in Eukaryota, Metazoa, Chordata, Actinopteri, Cichliformes, Cichlidae. The record is from Ensembl.
CUGGUUUUGUUUAUUACAAUAUGAGAAGAUUUCCACUAGAGAGGGACCCAGAAAAGGAGCAGAGACCACUUAAGCAUGAAGUGUUUUCAAGUGGGAGCUGGUGUUUUAUUGCUGGACCACCUAGAGGACAUGAGGUUGUUGUCGGAUUUGCUGAGUCAGGGGGCGGCUAGAGAGGGUCAGAGCGAAGGUAGUGGACCUGGGAAUGGUGUAGUGACGUCUUUGGAAGACGUCAAGAGAGGGAAUUGUGGAAUUACAGGGAUUAUUUUACAUAACCAUCAUCUUAUCAUUGCAGUAAUUAUCAUUUCAUCAAAGUGUUUAUUGAAGCUGCUGGCAUUAUGUUAUAAUUUAUAUUAUAGGGGUUAUCAUAAUCAAAUAUUAACAUGUUUAUUACAGGUGCAGUUAUAACUACUUUAAAAUGAUUGAGUUAAAUAUAUAUGUAUCAUAACUCAUAUGCUGAGUAUAUUGUUACAGUAAAAUAGUAGCUGAGCAAAGGCCUGAAUGUAUUCAGCUUCUUGUGGUAUUUGAGUUUGCUUAGUUACAGGUGACGUAAGGAUGUCCAGCCCAUGGUGACCUCAAAGGCCUUAGGUCAUCACCAUAUUCGGAAGAGUAUGCCACAAGGAGGAACCUCUAUGUUGCAUUUAAUUCUUAAAAUACAUGAAUGUUCUGUACAUGCAAAUUAUGUGUUUGUAAGCGCAAGAAGGG